AUGUUUCCCGAAAGCCUGGAGGACUCUUGCAACUUCCGGAAAACUGGAAAGGCAACGGGGCUGCCAGGUAGUGGGUCUGUGUGCACAGGCCAUCCUGACCGGCUAGAUGAUUGCAGAGGGAUGCCCCUCAAGUGCACACAGAACAUCCCUGGGGUUUCUGCACUCAGCCAGCUGUUGGCACUCAGCUUGUCCAAGGACCCUGCAGGUGCUGUGGGACAGGGCUGUUGCAAGGCCAGGACACGGCCUUUGUGCCUGCCCUGGGUUCUUAACUAUAAAGUAAGGAGGCAGCUUCCUAGGCUUCCACACUCCUUCCACAAGCCUGGCCAAUUUCUGCUGCUUCCUUUGAUCCUCCACUCACUUGCCUUGGAAAUGGACCCCAACUGCUCCUGCACCACCGGCACCUCCUGCACCUGCUCCAGCUCCUGCAACUGCUAGGACUGCCAGUGCACCUCCUGCAAGAAGAGUGAGUGGGGCCUGGUAGCAUCAGGGGCUGCUGCUGAGCUAGGGAGGGAAGACAAGGCUGGCGCUGAGCGCAGGACUCUGGGGAAUUGGGUGUCCUCUGUUCCCUGGAGAUCAUUCUGGCCCUCUCCAGGCUUUCUGCACUGUCCUGAGCUCCCAGGGUCAGGC
This 627-nucleotide long non-coding RNA is filed under the name Nannospalax galili (Upper Galilee mountains blind mole rat). RNAcentral describes it as "lncRNA (ENSNGAG00000024569.1)". Lineage: Eukaryota; Metazoa; Chordata; Mammalia; Rodentia; Spalacidae. The record is from RNAcentral.